GGUUGUGGCUCAGUGGUGGAGCGCUUGCCUAGCAUGCAGGAGGCGCUGGGUUCGAUCCUCAGCACCA
Molecule: transfer RNA, 67 nt
Filed under: Marmota monax (woodchuck)
Lineage: Eukaryota; Metazoa; Chordata; Mammalia; Rodentia; Sciuridae
Description: tRNA.Ala
Rfam family: tRNA
About the family: Transfer RNA (tRNA) molecules are approximately 80 nucleotides in length.
Source: RNAcentral